CCUACGGGUGGCUGCAGUGGGGAAUAUUGGACAAUGGGCGAAAGCCUGAUCCAGCAAUGCCGCGUGUGUGAAGAAGGCCUUCGGGUUGUAAAGCACUUUAAGCGAGGAGGAAGUGCCAUCGGCAAAUACCCGGUGGUGUUGACGUUACUCGCAGAAUAAGCACCGGCUAACUCUGUGCCAGCAGCCGCGGUAAUACAGAGGGUGCAAGCGUUAAUCGGAAUUACUGGGCGUAAAGCGCGCGUAGGCGGUUUGUUAAGUCUGUUGUGAAAUCCCUG
This 275-nucleotide ribosomal RNA is filed under the name uncultured bacterium. RNAcentral's name for it is "partial 16S ribosomal RNA". It matches the Rfam family "Bacterial small subunit ribosomal RNA", at positions 338 to 605 of the family's 1533-position model. The record is from RNAcentral.